RNAcentral lists this ribosomal RNA (74 nucleotides) under Candidatus Veblenbacteria bacterium. Its description in RNAcentral is "partial 23S ribosomal RNA". Lineage: Bacteria; Candidatus Vebleniibacteriota. The record is from RNAcentral.
UUGUGGUUAAACCGCAAAUAAGUGCAGAUGGUGGAUGCCUUGGUAUGGAAUGACGAUGAAGGACGUAGCAGCCU